GACGUAGGGGGCGAGCGUUGUCCGGAAUCACUGGGCGUAAAGAGCUCGUAGGCGGGGUCGCGCGUCGUGGAGUAAAUUUCUAUGCUCAACGUAGACAUCUUCUGCGAUACGGCGACUCUUGAGGACAGGAGAGGAAAGCGGAAUUCCGAGUGUAGCGGUGAAAUGCGUAGAUAUUCGGAGGAACACCAGUGGCGAAGGCGGCUUUCUGGCCUGAUUCUGACGCUGAGGAGCGAAAGCCAGGGUAGCGAACGGG
Molecule: ribosomal RNA, 253 nt
Filed under: uncultured bacterium
Lineage: Bacteria
Description: partial 16S ribosomal RNA
Rfam family: Bacterial small subunit ribosomal RNA
Source: RNAcentral